This 410-nucleotide long non-coding RNA is filed under the name Phoenix dactylifera (date palm). Its description in RNAcentral is "long non-coding RNA (PDAC_LNC013793)". Lineage: Eukaryota; Viridiplantae; Streptophyta; Magnoliopsida; Arecales; Arecaceae. The record is from RNAcentral.
AUGGCCAGCGGAUGCGAGGUCGGUUGCGAAGAGGUGCUAACGAGGAAGCGACGUGGCUCCUCGUGCUAUGGGUACGAGGCACGGCCCACGCACCUCUUAGCUCAUCGUACCCGUUGUCCGACCUCGGCUCCUCUGGGCUCAUCACACCUGUGGUCCGACCUCGGCCUCGGCUCUUCGCGCUUCAAUUAAGGUGGGUCGGACGAGCACAGGCGCACAGAACCUCGGACGAGCAGGGGCAGGGCCUAGCGAGCACAAGCACAUGCGCAAAGAACCUUGGCUCGGACAAGCACAGGCACAGCUCGGAUGCAGAGAACCUCGGCUCGGACAAGCACAGGCACAGAGAACCUCGGCUCGGACAAGCACAGGCCCAACGAGCAGAAGAGAACCGAGCUUUACGUAAUAGAAAUAAA